GCGUCUAUAGCUCAACGGGAUAGAGCGUUAGCCUUCUAAGCUGGUGGUAGGGGUUCGAGUCCUCUUAGAUGCU
RNAcentral lists this transfer RNA (73 nucleotides) under bacterium AB1. Its description in RNAcentral is "tRNA-Arg". It matches the Rfam family "tRNA". Rfam says of the family: Transfer RNA (tRNA) molecules are approximately 80 nucleotides in length. Their secondary structure includes four short double-helical elements and three loops (D, anti-codon, and T loops). The record is from RNAcentral.